RNAcentral lists this ribosomal RNA (380 nucleotides) under marine Metazoa environmental sample. Its description in RNAcentral is "SSU rRNA". It matches the Rfam family "Eukaryotic small subunit ribosomal RNA", at positions 587 to 972 of the family's 1831-position model. The record is from RNAcentral. Lineage: Eukaryota; Metazoa.
AGCUCCAAUAGCGUAUAUUAAAGUUGUUGCAGUUAAAAAGCUCGUAGUUGGAUCUCAGGUCCCGGCUCGCGGUUCACUUCACGGUGCUUACUGCCCGUCCGGACCUACCCGCCGGUUUUCCCUUGGUGCUCUUCACUGAGUGUCUCGGGUGGCCGGAACGUUUACUUUGAAAAAAUUAGAGUGUUCAAAGCAGGCGCUUCGCCUGAAUAAUGGUGCAUGGAAUAAUGGAAUAGGACCUCGGUUCUAUUUUGUUGGUUUGCAUACCAAAUUAAUGAUCAACAGGAACAGUUUGAGGAUAUUCGUAUGAACAUGUCAGAGGUGAAAUUCUUGGAUUUUGAUCAGACGAACUACUGCGAAAGCAUUUAUCAAGGAUGUUUUCA